AUGAGAGGCCAUCCGGCAGCCCAAGUCUUCAACAGUGGUUGGACACAAUUUACAGACAAAAAUCCGUCGGUGCCGUCAAGAGCCCACAUAGGCCAACUAACAGACAUGUCUUCAUGGAAGUCAAGCCAGCAACAAAUGAGGACACGAAGCCAAGCAUAUAGGUGGACAGAACUUGCAGAGAAACCUCUCAGGUCCGAUCAUCCACGGUUUGUCUCCACGUGCGACGAUGCCACACAUCUCAUGUCCACUGCCAUCCUAUGCAAAUCGAGCAUCUAUGUGCCUCACUUGCGCCGAUCCACCACUCCUGUACACCUUGUGUUUGCCACCAUCGUGCCAAACUACAACCACAACCAUCCAAGGCAAUGGCCACAGUAG
This 375-nucleotide ribosomal RNA is filed under the name Triticum aestivum (bread wheat). Its description in RNAcentral is "partial small subunit ribosomal RNA". The record is from RNAcentral. Lineage: Eukaryota; Viridiplantae; Streptophyta; Magnoliopsida; Poales; Poaceae.